UGCAAGUCGAGCGGGCCCUUCGGGGUCAGCGGCAGACGGGUGAGUAACGCGUGGGAACGUGCCCUUCGGUUCGGAAUAACUCAGGGAAACUUGAGCUAAUACCGGAUACGCCCAUGGCCUCUGGCCCUGGGGAAAGGUUUAUCUGCCGAAGGAUCGGCCCGCGUCUGAUUAGCUAGUUGGUGAGGUUAUGGCUCACCAAGGCGACGAUCAGUAGCUGGUCUGAGAGGAUGAUCAGCCACACUGGGACUGAGACACGGCCCAGACUCCUACGGGAGGCAGCAGUGGGGAAUAUUGGACAAUGGGGGCAACCCUGAUCCAGCCAUGCCGCGUGAGUGAUGACGGCCUUAGGGUUGUAAAGCUCUUUUCUCCGGGACGAUAAUGACGGUACCGGAGGAAUAAGCCCCGGCUAACUUCGUGCCAGCAGCCGCGGUAAUACGAAGGGGGCUAGCGUUGCUCGGAAUCACUGGGCGUAAAGGGCGCGUAGGCGGCUGAUUUAGUCGAGGGUGAAAGCCCGUGGCUCAACCACGGAAUGGCCUUCGAUACUGAUUGGCUUGAGACCGGAAGAGGACGGCGGAACUGCGAGUGUAGAGGUGAAAUUCGUAGAUAUUCGCAAGAACACCAGUGGCGAAGG
RNAcentral lists this ribosomal RNA (631 nucleotides) under uncultured bacterium. Its description in RNAcentral is "bacterial SSU rRNA". It matches the Rfam family "Bacterial small subunit ribosomal RNA", at positions 56 to 721 of the family's 1533-position model. The record is from RNAcentral.